RNAcentral lists this ribosomal RNA (393 nucleotides) under uncultured Scuticociliatia. RNAcentral describes it as "partial small subunit ribosomal RNA". It matches the Rfam family "Eukaryotic small subunit ribosomal RNA", at positions 30 to 432 of the family's 1831-position model. Lineage: Eukaryota; Ciliophora; Oligohymenophorea. The record is from RNAcentral.
GCUUGUCUCAAAGAUUAAGCCAUGCAUGUCUAAGUGUAAAUAAGUCUAUACUGUGAAACUGCGAAUGGCUCAUUAAAUCAGUUAUCGUUUAUUUGAUGAUCUCUUACUACUUGGAUAACCGUAGUAAUUCUAGAGCUAAUACAUGCUAUCAAGCCCGACUUUUUGAAGGGUUGUAUUUAUUAGACUUAAGCCAAUAUUCCUUGUGUCUAUUGCGAUGAUUCAUAAUAACUGAUCGAAUCUCAAAUUUGAGAUAAAUCAUUCAAGUUUCUGCCCUAUCAGCUUUGGAUGGUAGGGUAUUGGCCUACCAUGGCUUUAACGGGUAACGGAGAAUUAGGGUUCGAUUCCGGAGAGGGAGCCUGAGAAAUGGCUACCACAUCCAAGGAAGGCAGCAGG